Molecule: non-coding RNA, 620 nt
Organism: Poecilia reticulata (guppy)
Lineage: Eukaryota; Metazoa; Chordata; Actinopteri; Cyprinodontiformes; Poeciliidae
Source: RefSeq, a predicted model, not a curated record
CUUUUCUGUCAUCAUAUCAUCAUAUUAUCACAUCGUUUUCUUGGACAUCAACAAAUUUGGUAGAGAAGUUGACACUGCUACGUAUAUUUAAGGAUGCCUCCACCAUGAUUAUUUCCCUUAAAGCUAACAACUGGCUCCAUUAAAGGAGGAGUAUCAGCGCCCUCUUCUGGAUGGCAGCCACACUACGACACAGGAAGAAGGUCUAAGAGGACGUUAGGAGUUUAUCGAAUAGAACAAUUUGAAUCUAACAAACCAUUAUUCAACAAUUGAAUAAUGGUUCAAUUGUUGCCUAUUGCCUAUUAUUUGUUUUUUAACCGUAAUGUUGACCACUGAUAGGUAUAAAUAUCUCUUUUGAGCUAUUCUAGUAGCUGAUCAGACGAUACAAACUCAUUCAACUCUCCAAGCGGGUAUACGUGUUCAGGAAUAAUAGAAAAAUGGUAGUUCUCAAAACUACUACCGAAAAUAACAAGUAGGAAUAAACUCACUCUAAUGUAUACAGUUCUGUAAAUGAUAUUAACACUUUUACAAUGUGUCAUAAACUUCUUUUACUUAUGACAAGAAAUGAGACAGGCAUCUCCCAAAAGACAAUAAGACAAAGUAAAAGGAACAUCACUCUUGUA